UGGUAAUGCCGGAUGCUCCGGUUGGAUGCAUGUCCUUCCGGGAAAGAUUCCAUCGGUAUGGGAUGGGGUCGCGUCCUAUCAGCUUGAUGGCGGGGUAACGGCCCACCAUGGCUUCGACGGGUAGCCGGCCUGAGAGGGCGACCGGCCACAUUGGGACUGAGAUACGGCCCAGACUCCUACGGGAGGCAGCAGUGGGGAAUAUUGCACAAUGGGCGCAAGCCUGAUGCAGCGACGCCGCGUGCGGGAUGGAGGCCUUCGGGUUGUAAACCGCUUUUGAUCGGGAGCAAGCCCUUCGGGGUGAGUGUACCCUUCGAAUAAGCACCGGCUAACUACGUGCCAGCAGCCGCGGUAAUACGUAGGGUGCAAGCGUUAUCCGGAAUUAUUGGGCGUAAAGGGCUCGUAGGCGGUUCGUCGCGUCCGGUGUGAAAGCCCAUCGCUUAACGGUGGGUCUGCGCCGGGUACGGGCGGGCUGGAGUGCGGUAGGGGAGACUGGAAUUCCCGGUGUAACGGUGGAAUGUGUAGAUAUCGGAAAAGAACACCA
Molecule: ribosomal RNA, 541 nt
Filed under: Bifidobacterium dentium
Lineage: Bacteria; Bacillati; Actinomycetota; Actinomycetes; Bifidobacteriales; Bifidobacteriaceae
Description: bacterial SSU rRNA
Rfam family: Bacterial small subunit ribosomal RNA
Source: RNAcentral